GGAUCCCUCAGCUGAGUGGCUCUGCUGAGGUCAUAGGGUGUUUGUAGUACUGCAGUGCUUCAGGCUGGACUGUCUAAGAAAAAGGCAAUUUUCAUGUACCAUCUCCUGAUCUGUUUGUACCAUUGACAGCAACAGAGUCCUAACUGCCUGAGUUCAUCAAGAACUGUCCAGUGGGUGACUCUUUGCUCCUCCACAGCAAAAGCUGGCUGAGGAAAUACAACUUGCUGAAGGCGGUUACCUUUGUUCGAAGCCAACUGAGACAGCGCCAGCACUCAGUAAUUACAGCCAUACAGUUUCCAGGAGACUCCUUCUUCACCAGACCUGUCGUCUCAUGUCCCCAU
Molecule: long non-coding RNA, 341 nt
Organism: Aquila chrysaetos chrysaetos
Lineage: Eukaryota; Metazoa; Chordata; Aves; Accipitriformes; Accipitridae
Exons: 3
Source: RefSeq, a predicted model, not a curated record